Trichechus manatus latirostris (Florida manatee) is the source of this 832-nucleotide long non-coding RNA. RefSeq lists it as uncharacterized. The record is from RefSeq and is a predicted model, not a curated record. The transcript has 3 exons. Lineage: Eukaryota; Metazoa; Chordata; Mammalia; Sirenia; Trichechidae.
CCUAAGAAGGAUGGUCUUUCAGAAGUCACAAAGAAUUUUGAGACGAAAAAAUUCAAGGAAAUACUUGGAAUAAAGUAGAAGCCUUGAAGACUGAAGGCUAUGGGCCUGGUUGAUCCACUUCAGAUUCAUACCCUGUUUUAUUAGAGGUUGAAAAAUGUUCAAGACCUGGUUGUACCGCAGCUCCCACCGACAGCUAAGGAACCAGUUUGGCGUCUGGUUGGUCUGUUGUUUUACUGCUGACCUUCAAAUCAACUUUAACCCCUGACCUCUGGAGGCAUCUAUCAUGACAAGAGGCUGUUUAACACAAACGGUGCCCAUUUAUAGGGGAACAGGCUCAGAAGAUGUCCUUUUUAUGAAGAAUUUAGUUUUUCCCCCCUCUUUUCUCCGUCACCACAGGUGAAAUCCCUCUUAGCAGCUGGCUUAUGAAAUAAUGUGAGGAGAGGCCUUAAUAAGCAGAAAGCACCCUUAGCUGGAGAUAAAUAUAUGCAAAUGAGAUGCACAAACAAAGGAGCCUGGACAGAGAAAUAUCUGCAUUUCCAGCGAAAUGCUGCCUGCAGCUCGAAGAUGAACAGCGUUGAUAAAAUGUGAACAGUAUCCUCACAUGUGCUGACGGCUCAGGCCACUGACCUGCAGCAGCUAGGAUAAAAAAUAGUUAAAGUGAUUCAACAUGUUCUGGAAUAUACAGUCCUGCUCCCCGUCUCCGCGCCCCCCCCCCAAAAAAAAAGUCAUUUGUCUUCUGCGUCCUGUGAUGUUUUGAGGAUUCUGGCAAAUAGGGCAGUUCAACAAACUUCUCUCACAAUCUAAAUACUGUCUGUUCAAGAGAGGCUUCCAA